UUGACCUCAAAUCGGGUGAGACUACCCGCUGAACUUAAGCAUAUCAUAAGCGGAGGAAAGAAACUAACAAGGAUCCCUAGUAACUGCGAGU
Molecule: ribosomal RNA, 91 nt
Filed under: uncultured ectomycorrhiza (Lactarius pseudomucidus)
Lineage: Eukaryota; Fungi; Basidiomycota; Agaricomycetes; Russulales; Russulaceae
Description: partial 28S ribosomal RNA
Rfam family: Eukaryotic large subunit ribosomal RNA
Source: RNAcentral